Molecule: ribosomal RNA, 344 nt
Filed under: uncultured soil bacterium
Lineage: Bacteria
Description: bacterial SSU rRNA
Rfam family: Bacterial small subunit ribosomal RNA
Source: RNAcentral
GGUUUCUUAAGUCUGAUGUGAAAGCCCCCGGCUCAACCGGGGGAGGGUCAUUGGAAACUGGGAAACUUGAGUGCAGAAGAGGAAGUGGAAUUCCACGUGUAGCGGUGAAAUGCGUAGAGAUGUGGAGGAACACCAGUGGCGAAGGCGACUUUCUGGUCUGUAACUGACGCUGAGGCGCGAAAGCGUGGGGAGCAAACAGGAUUAGAUACCCUGGUAGUCCACGCCGUAAACGAUGAGUGCUAAGUGUUAGGGGGUUCCGCCCUUUAGUGCUGCAGCUAACGCAUUAAGCACUCCGCCUGGGGAGUACGGUCGCAAGACUGAAACUCAAGGAAUUGACGGACCGC